AAAUCUAUAGCUCAAGAGGUAGAGCAUUUCCCUUCUAAGGAAGAGGUUGUAGGUUCAAAUCCUACUGGGUUGA
Molecule: transfer RNA, 73 nt
Filed under: Aplysina cauliformis (row pore rope sponge)
Lineage: Eukaryota; Metazoa; Porifera; Demospongiae; Verongiida; Aplysinidae
Also listed under: 1 other name
Description: tRNA-Arg
Rfam family: tRNA
About the family: Transfer RNA (tRNA) molecules are approximately 80 nucleotides in length. Their secondary structure includes four short double-helical elements and three loops (D, anti-codon, and T loops).
Source: RNAcentral